GUUGAGAUCUAGAGAGAGAGAGAGAGAGAUUCAGGAGCUUCAAGCACUUCUCAGUGUGCUCCAAGGGAUUGUCCUAGCCAUAUCAUGGGCUCGAAGCAUAACCCCCCAGUCAGCAGAACACGAAGUCCUUUGUCAAUAUUUAUUGUCUUUUGUUUGUGCUGUUUCUUUUAUGUCUUGGGAGCAUGGCAGAGGAGUGGUUUUGGUAAAGGUGAUAGAAUAGCCUUGGCAGUAACCAAACAAACAGAUUGCAAUAUCUUUCCUGAUCUGAACUUUGAAACCCAUCACAAUACUGUUGAGAUUAUCGAACCAUCUAAGCCAAAAACUAAAGUAUUCAAGCCAUGUGAUGUUAAAUACACUGAUUAUACACCUUGCCAAGAGCAAGACCAAGCAAUGAAAUUUCCACGGGAAAAUAUGAUAUACAGGGAAAGACAUUGUCCACCAGAAAAAGGAAAAUUGCAUUGUCUUAUUCCAGCACCAAAAGGGUAUAGGACCCCAUUUCCAUGGCCAAAAGGCCGUGACUAUGUCCACUAUGCUAAUGUUCCAUAUAAAAGCCUAACCGUGGAGAAGGCUGUUCAGAAUUGGGUGCAGUUUCAGGGGGAUGUGUUCAAAUUUCCAGGAGGAGGAACCAUGUUCCCUCAGGGUGCAGAUAAAUACAUUGAUGAACUUGCAUCAGUGAUCCCAAUAGCAGAUGGGUCUGUCAGGACUGCUUUAGAUACUGGUUGUGGGGUUGCAAGUUGGGGUGCGUAUCUGAUGAAAAGGAAUGUAUUGUCAAUGUCCUUUGCACCACGAGACAACCAUGAGGCACAGAUACAAUUUGCAUUGGAGCGAGGAGUACCUGCAGUUAUUGGGGUUCUUGGAUCAAUACGUCUUCCAUACCCGUCAAGAGCUUUUGAUAUGGCUCAGUGCUCUCGAUGUCUUAUACCAUGGACCUCAAAUGAGGGAAUGUACCUAAUGGAAGUUGAUCGAGUUCUCAGACCUGGAGGAUAUUGGAUCCUGUCUGGCCCUCCAAUAAAUUGGAAGACAUACUAUCAGACCUGGAAGCGGUCAAAGAAGGAUCUACAGGCUGAGCAAAGAAAGAUUGAAGAGAUUGCUGAAAGCCUUUGCUGGGAAAAAAAGUAUGAGAAAGGAGAUAUUGCUAUCUGGAGAAAACGGGAAAAUGACAAAAAUUGCCAAAGGAAGUCUAUCAGCAUGUGCAAAUCAGGCAAUGCUGAUAAUGUCUGGUACAAGGAAAUGGAAACAUGUGUAACGCCCUUCCCUAAGGUAACCAGUGCAAAAGAAGUAGCUGGUGGGGGGUUGAAGAAGUUUCCAGAAAGGCUUUUUGCAGUGCCUCCUCGAAUAGCUAAGGGACUAGUUGAGGGCGUCACAGCAGAAUCUUAUCAAGAGGACAAUAAACUUUGGAAAAAGCAUGUAAAUGAAUACAAAAGGAUCAACAAAUUGAUUGGCACCACAAGAUAUCGGAAUGUGAUGGAUAUGAAUGCAGGGCUUGGAGGCUUUGCAGCUGCACUUGAAUCACAGAAGUCUUGGGUGAUGAAUGUUGUGCCUACAAUUGCUAAGAACACUUUAGGUGUUAUUUAUGAGAGAGGACUAGUUGGAAUCUAUCAUGACUGGUGUGAAGGAUUCUCAACAUACCCAAGGACAUAUGACUUCAUUCAUGCCAGUGGUGUAUUUAGCAUGUACCAGAACACGUGUAAAUUAGAGGACAUUCUUCUGGAAAUGGAUCGCAUUUUGCGUCCCGAAGGGACUGUAAUAUUCAGAGACGAGGUUGAUGUUCUCAAUGAGGUUAGGAAAAUCUCAGGAGGCAUGAGAUGGGAUACAAAAAUGAUUGAUCAUGAGGAUGGAUCCCUUGUGCCUGAGAAGAUAUUGGUUGCUGUCAAACAGUACUGGGUCGGUGGCGCAGGAAACAGCACAUCAAAUGAUGAAUAAGCCAUAAGUCAAUUCUUUUGGAGGCAAAAAUAAUGCAAAUCAUACAGAAGUAAAGAAGUGAUUCUGUUGCUCCGAACACGGCAUGGGACUGAAGGGUUUUGAUGUUUGGAGCAGGCAUAUGUAAGUUUUUAAUACAUGUUCUUGCAGAUGUGCAGCAAAUGUAUGAAUUAUCCAAGCUAAACACUCUUGGAUUUGAUUUUGGAGAGCAGAAUAGAAUUUGUAUUUGCUGGAUAAAUAAUUGGGUGAGUAGUCAAGAUUGCAAU
RNAcentral lists this unclassified non-coding RNA (2186 nucleotides) under Hevea brasiliensis (rubber tree). Lineage: Eukaryota; Viridiplantae; Streptophyta; Magnoliopsida; Malpighiales; Euphorbiaceae. The record is from RNAcentral.